UAGCUCAGUUGGUAGAGCGCUGCCUUUGCAAGGCAGAUGUCAGGAGUUCGUUCUU
This 55-nucleotide transfer RNA is filed under the name Mycolicibacterium cosmeticum. Its description in RNAcentral is "Mycobacterium cosmeticum tRNA". It matches the Rfam family "tRNA", at positions 8 to 61 of the family's 71-position model. Rfam says of the family: Transfer RNA (tRNA) molecules are approximately 80 nucleotides in length. Their secondary structure includes four short double-helical elements and three loops (D, anti-codon, and T loops). Lineage: Bacteria; Bacillati; Actinomycetota; Actinomycetes; Mycobacteriales; Mycobacteriaceae. The record is from Rfam by way of RNAcentral.